This 91-nucleotide transfer RNA is filed under the name Collariella sp. IMI 366227. RNAcentral's name for it is "tRNA-Pro". It matches the Rfam family "tRNA". Rfam says of the family: Transfer RNA (tRNA) molecules are approximately 80 nucleotides in length. Lineage: Eukaryota; Fungi; Ascomycota; Sordariomycetes; Sordariales; Chaetomiaceae. The record is from RNAcentral.
GGCUCGGUGGUCUAGUGGUAUGAUUCUCGCUUAGGGUUCACCCUAUAGCAUCUGUUGCGAGAGGUCCCGGGUUCAAUCCCCGGCCGAGCCC